Non-coding RNA from Vespa mandarinia (Asian giant hornet), 71 nucleotides. NCBI's taxonomy places the organism in Eukaryota, Metazoa, Arthropoda, Insecta, Hymenoptera, Vespidae. The record is from the annotation of a RefSeq genome assembly.
UAUUUUAUAUAUUAUAUCUAAUUAAAUAUAUAUACAUUUAUAAAAUAUAUUUAUGUUUUCAUAUAUUAAAU